UUGAAAGGGAAAGAUUGAAGUCAGUCGUGCUGGCGCGAAAUCAACCUUCUCGUCGAGAGAUCACAUGGCGUGGCGAGCCUCAAAACCGUCGCGAAGCGUGAACUCUUGGUGAAAUGGAGCACUUUCGUGUCCGCUGGUUAACAUCAAUUUCGAUCGUCAUAAAAAGGCUGGAGGGAUGUGGCUCCUUCGGGAGUGUUAUAACCUUUAGCGGAAUGUGGUGGUCGGGAUUGAGGAUUGCAACGAAUACCUUUAGGGCUGUUCCACCUGGCUUCUCAUUGGCAUCCUGGUGACGACAGCUUGCUGACGUCGUUAGGAUUCGCCUUUGAACAGGUCAGAGCGUGAGCAAAUUCGUUAAGGAUGUUGACGUA
RNAcentral lists this ribosomal RNA (368 nucleotides) under uncultured Glomeromycotina. RNAcentral describes it as "eukaryotic LSU rRNA". The record is from RNAcentral. Lineage: Eukaryota; Fungi; Glomeromycota.